Molecule: ribosomal RNA, 389 nt
Filed under: Fissurina sp. EK-2014a
Lineage: Eukaryota; Fungi; Ascomycota; Lecanoromycetes; Ostropales; Graphidaceae
Description: SSU rRNA
Rfam family: Bacterial small subunit ribosomal RNA
Source: RNAcentral
UAUUGGUCAAUAGCCUAACGGCUGAACCAGCAACUAGGAGGAAUGCAGAAUUACUGUGAAAGGUAAUUUUCUAUAUAAGAAAUUAAAUGUAGAGUUAACGUAGUUAAGUAAAGUUCCGAUUAGAAAUUGAUUAUGACAGUUUCUAUGAGUAUGUCUUGACCAAUUCAUGUGCCAGCAGUCGCGGUAACACAUGUAAGACUCGUGUUAUUCAUCUUUAAUAGGUUUAAAGGGUACCUAGACAGUUAAUUAAGCCUGGUACUAAUAAACUAGAGUUUAAUAUAAGAAGAAGAGUACGGUGAGUGUAGAGAUAAAAUUCGUUGAUACCACUUAGAAACUGGCAAAAGCGAAGGCAAUCUUCUAUGUAAAAACUGACGUUGAAGGACGAAGGA